GCGCAGGUGGCGGAACUGGUAUACGCGCACGCUUGAGGUGCGUGUGCCGCAAGGCUUGGGGGUUCGAGUCCCCCCCUGCGCA
Molecule: transfer RNA, 82 nt
Filed under: bacterium
Lineage: Bacteria
Description: tRNA-Leu
Rfam family: tRNA
About the family: Transfer RNA (tRNA) molecules are approximately 80 nucleotides in length. Their secondary structure includes four short double-helical elements and three loops (D, anti-codon, and T loops).
Source: RNAcentral